RNAcentral lists this ribosomal RNA (233 nucleotides) under uncultured bacterium. RNAcentral describes it as "partial 16S ribosomal RNA". It matches the Rfam family "Bacterial small subunit ribosomal RNA", at positions 114 to 334 of the family's 1533-position model. The record is from RNAcentral.
CACGUGGAUAAUCUACCCGACAGUCAGGGAUAACAUUCCGAAAGGAAUGCUAAUACCUGAUAAGCCUACGCCCUCCUCGGAGGAAGUAGGAAAAGGUGGGGACCUUCGGGCCUGCCGUUGUUGGAUGAGUCCGCGGCCCACUAGCUAGUUGGUAGGGUAAUGGCCUACCAAGGCUACGAUGGUAGCUGGUCUGAGAGGAUGAUCAGCCACACUGGAACUGAGACACGGUCCAG